GAGCUCAGUUGGCUACAGUGUGGCGCUCAUAAUGCCAAGGUUGAAGGUUCAAUCCCUGUAUGGGACA
This is a non-coding RNA of Podarcis lilfordi (Lilford's wall lizard), 67 nucleotides long. NCBI's taxonomy places the organism in Eukaryota, Metazoa, Chordata, Lepidosauria, Squamata, Lacertidae. The record is from the annotation of a GenBank genome assembly.